RNAcentral lists this ribosomal RNA (1319 nucleotides) under Halomassarina thalassiae. RNAcentral's name for it is "eukaryotic LSU rRNA". It matches the Rfam family "Eukaryotic large subunit ribosomal RNA", at positions 79 to 1401 of the family's 3401-position model. The record is from RNAcentral. Lineage: Eukaryota; Fungi; Ascomycota; Dothideomycetes; Pleosporales; Trematosphaeriaceae.
GCCGGUACGGCGAGUGUAGCGCAUAGCUCAAUUUGAAAUCGGGCUUGUGGAUUCCCGUUAGUCCGAGUUGUAAUUUGCAGAGGGUGCUUUAGUGUGGGGGGACGCUAAAAUUCCUUGGGACAGGUACCAUGGAGGGGGGAAAUCCCGUAUGUCGGGUGCCCGGCCUACACUAUGUAAGGCCCCCUCGAAGAGUCGCGUUGUUUGGGAAUGCAGCGCUAAGAGGGAGGUAAAUUUCUUCUAAAGCUAAAUCUGGCCAGAGACCGAUAGCGCACAAGUAGAGUGAUCGAAAGAUGAAAGCACUUUGGAAAGAGAGGGAAAUAGCACGUGAAAUUGUUGAAAGGGAAGCGCUUGCAGCCAGACAUGCCUGCGGUUGCUCAGCUAGGCAUUUUUAGCCUGGUGCACUCUUCCGUGGCAGGCCAGCAUCAGUUUGGGCGGUUGGAGAAUGGCCUCUGUCAUGUAUCUUCCUUUGGGAUGACCUUAUAGGGGAGGUGUAAAUGCAGCCAGCCCAGACUGAGGUCUGCGCAGUCUUCUGCUAGGAUGCUGGGCAUAAUGGUGGCAAGCCGGCCCGUCUUUGAAACACGGACCAAGGAGNCUAACAUCCAUGCGAGUGUUUGGGUGUCAAGGCCCGGGCGCGCAAUGAAAGUAAAUGGAGGUGGGAUCCCCUUGGGGUGCACCAUCGACCGAUCCCUGAUGUCUUCGGAUGGAUUUGAGUAAGAGCAUGGCUGUUGGGCCCCGAAAGAUGGUGAACUAUGCUUGAAUAGGGUGAAGCCAGAGGAAACUCUGGUGGAGGCUCGCAGCGGUUCUGACGUGCAAAUCGAUCGUCAAAUUUGGGCAUAGGGGCGAAAGACUAAUCGAACCAUCUAGUAGCUGGUUCCUGCCCGAAGUUUCCCUCAGGAUAGCAGUAACAAGAUCCAGUUUUAUGAGGUAAAGCGAAUGAUUAGAGGCCUGGGGGUUGAAAAUAACCUUCACCUAUUCUCAAACUUUAAAUAUGUAAGAAGUCUCUGUUGCUUUAGUGAACGGGGACACUUGAAUGGAUUGUUACUAGUGGGCCAUUUUUGGUAAGCAGAACUGGCGAUGCGGGAUGAACCGAACGCGGGGUUAAGGUGCCAGAAUGCACGCUCAUCAGACACCACAAAAGGUGUUAGUUCAUCUAGACAGCAGGACGGUGGCCAUGGAAGUCGGAAUCCGCUAAGGAGUGUGUAACAACUCACCUGCCGAAUGAACUAGCCCUGAAAAUGGAUGGCGCUUAAGCGUGUUACCUAUACCCCACCCCCACGGCAGACAUUAUGCCGCGGCGAGUAGGCAGGCGGGCGCUCUAG